RNAcentral lists this ribosomal RNA (382 nucleotides) under Callomyia admirabilis. RNAcentral's name for it is "partial 16S ribosomal RNA". The record is from RNAcentral. Lineage: Eukaryota; Metazoa; Arthropoda; Insecta; Diptera; Platypezidae.
CGAAGGUAGCAUAAUCAGUAGUCUUUUAAUUGAAGGCUUGUAUGAAUGAUUGGACGAAAUAUUAACUGUUUCAUUUAAAAUGUUUAUAGAAUUUUAUUUUUUAGUUAAAAAGCUAAAAUUUCAUUAAAAGACGAGAAGACCCUAUAAAUCUUAAUAUUUAUUAUUAUUUUAAUUAUAAAGAUUAUUUUAAUUAUGAUUUUAAUAAAUAUUUUAUUGGGGUGAUAUUAAAAUUUAAAAAACUUUUAAUUUAUUAUUACAUUAAUUUAUGAUUAAUUGAUCCAUUAUUAAUGAUUAAAAAUUUAAGUUACUUUAGGGAUAACAGCGUAAUUUUUUUGGAGAGUUCAUAUCGAUAAAAAAGAUUGCGACCUCGAUGUUGGAUUAA